GUGUGUUAAAGUGGUAAGGAAUAGGAGCUUACUGCAAGCACAUUCGAAAGCAUGGUGUAAAGGGCGUAAACCAUGUUUUUUUUUAUGGAGUAAGCCAUGAAGCAAGAGCAAUUACGAUUUUGUCGCAAACCAUUUGACCCUGAACUAAUUUGUUGCUAGCAAUUUUUUAAUUUGUUUUAUAUUUCGUUUACAUUUUCUUACGUAUUCGGAUUGCUUUGAUUAACGGCUCGAACAGUUGAUAUUUCAGGAUAAUAAGAGGCCAUAUGCCGCUUCUCGAUAAAUUCCCAAGUGAAAAACAAAGAUCGGAAACUUACCAUGCAAAAACAGGCAUAGUCUACAUUAUGCCUGCCUUAGGUGUUGUCUGUGCUCAAUGAUAACAUAAUGAAUGACUAGUGGUGUUGGGAUGUUGAUGGACCGAAAUGAAACCAAUUCGUGCCUGUAAUGAAACCUGUCAGUGACCUGCAAUCCUGGUCAUUCUGGUUGCUACAUAUAGGGCCGAGUUUCACCCAGCUCAAAACUUCCUGUGACCAGUUUAUGGGAUAUUUCAAAGCAUUUUUUCUGCCAAGUACAGCAUUGCGUGGCAAAAAUGAUACAUGGCGAUUGUUCAUUAGGUGUCGAAAACGGUAGUUAUGUGGAAAUUGAACAUCUAUCAGUGAAAGGGAAAUCAUGGUGUGAGAACAAAUUUACCGUUUUCGCACAUCUUUGGAAUAUGCGGUACUUGGGGUUUUCUGCUACCAUCCAAAAUCUCAUCGGACAUGUGACAUGCGAUGAAAAGGCACUGUUUAAGGGCAACGUCUGCGGGGAACGCUUAAAUAAUUUUGAUAAAGUCGUCCUCCAGGUUACAGGAAAAGAUGUACUUCAAUACAUAUCAUCAUUCGAAGAAGCCGGCCUGCGCCAACUACUACUUCAAAACAUAAAGAAUUCUGACUACAUAAAGCCAACACCUGUUCAGAAAGCUUCAGUUGCAGUUAUUCUUGCCAAAAGAGAUGUAAUUGCUUGUCCUGUUACGGGCUCCGGCAAAACGGCAAUCCAAUUAAUUAACGCUGUGUAGUUUUGAAACCUUGAUGCCCUCGUACUGAUUUGAUUCGAAUGGGUCGGUAUGAACUGGGCGGCGUACUUGGUACCGGUUUUGAACAUUGUUAGAACAAGGUGUUGCUGCUGCGUCUCAUGCCAUGGAGCAAAAGCCAGAAGUUGUAAUUGUCGCACCCACUCGUGAAUUGACCAUUCUAAUUCACCGCGAGGCGUGUAAAUUCUCCUACAGUUCGGUUUUAAAGCCUGUGAUUAUACGGUAUAUGGAAGAAUUGUCACGAGGUAUCAGCGGUCAAAUCUUCAAGCUGGGUGUAAUAUUGUUGUCGCGACCGCGGUGCGAUUCAACGAUUUCCUCGACCGUGGAGUAUUUGUCUUCAAAAAGAUUGUCGUUCAAGCUGUUUCUCCGAUGUAUAAGAAGAGGGUCAUACACAUUCGUCCAUAUUGCAACCAAUCAACGGUGGCGUCUGGUUGACUUAAACGUUAACCACUACUAUUGAUUAAAAUGAAAGAAACUGGCUCACAACGAAGCAAGGCAGGAGUUCCUAUGUUUACUCUGAGUUCCUAUGUUUACUCUGAGUUCCGUGCAUCUACCAUUGGUCGUUUUUACGAUUAUGCUCCUGAUAACGAAUGCCGUAUUUUCAAAAAACCUAUUUGACUGGUCGACACUUCAAUUUUUUAUUUUUUGAUCAACCACCUUUCGAUAUUUAAAAGCGAGGACUGAAUGGCACCUACACUUGGAUUGGAUCGGACUGUUAUUUGGUCGAAUGGUUAGCAGCAAAAUUAAACUUUACGUAUUCGUUCGUGCUAAUUAAUCAAACUAUUGCGAAUAUGUACGGGACGAAUGAGGGUUUGUUUUAUCAACUCAUAAAUGAUGAGG
Daphnia carinata is the source of this 1906-nucleotide long non-coding RNA. RefSeq lists it as uncharacterized. The record is from RefSeq and is a predicted model, not a curated record. The transcript is spliced from 8 exons. Lineage: Eukaryota; Metazoa; Arthropoda; Branchiopoda; Diplostraca; Daphniidae.